UUGGGGUUUUGUAAAGUUCAUCUCUGACGAUUAUACUGAAGAGAUGUACAUAACGCAGAAGAUGCAGUGAGUUUAUUGAUGGUUUCUGUGCUUGGCCAAGUUACAGUGCCGUCAUCCAGCCUUCAAGCAUGGUUCAGAAGCCAUGAACCACAAAUCAGCAUGUUUCCUUCCAGUUUCCAAUGAGCACUCUGACAGCAUCACUUAGCAUGCCAGUAUUCAACAUUGUGCAGAUCAUCUCUGUAAAGAUGGCUGUGUUGCUUCAGUUGCCACAUCUCUACGUAUGUUCUUCCUGUUAGCAAAGGCACACUGUGACAGCAUAUACUUUCUACAUGCUAAUACAUGCACAGUAUUGUUCAGGGAAAGACAUAUGCAAACCUAUCAGCUUCCAAAGUCGGCAACAUCCUGCUGUCACUACAGUCUCAGCACCUACCAGCUCCCACUCUGUCAGCAACAUCCUGCUGUCACAUGUCCAGCUACUGGUACUUGAAGUUACUGUGUGCUUGUACAUUCUCAGCACCUACUAGCUCUCACUCUGUCAGCAACAUCCUGCUGUCACAUGUCCAGCUAUUGGUACUCGGAGUUACUAUUUGCUUGUACUUUCUCAGCACCUACCAGCUCCCACUCUGUCAGCAACAUCCUGUCCAGCUACCGGCACUUGGAGUUAUUGUGUGCUUGUACAUUCUCAGCACCUACUAGUUCCCACUCUGUCAGCAACAUCCUGCUGUCACACCUCCAGAUAUGUGGAGUUAUUGUGCUUUUACAGUCUCAGCCAGUAUUGGAUUGCAAGUUGUCUUAUGCUGCUACAACCUACACAUUUAGCAUUCUCUUGAACCUUGAGGAACCACCAUAUGAACAAAGAGACUCUGAAACACUCAUAAUAAACCUGUCACGGUGGUUUGUUGAACAUUCGUAUUAUUUGGAGGACUUGCAAUUAGCUCAUAUAGUCAACUAGCUAUUCCAGUCCUCUGGAAGAGUUAGUUGGCUGCUUGAGGUUAUUCUAUACUAGUAGCAUGCCUUUUUUGUGCACGGUCAAGAGUAGAUCGAGAAAGCAGUUGUUUUUAAGGGCAAAACAAUUGUUCUUGUUCCUUGAAAAAGUUGGUCAAAACAUUUUCCCAACCAAUUUUUUUAUUUAAACAGUAAGAUAAAGGGCAACAAGGACUGU
Molecule: long non-coding RNA, 1162 nt
Filed under: Patiria miniata (bat star)
Lineage: Eukaryota; Metazoa; Echinodermata; Asteroidea; Valvatida; Asterinidae
Description: uncharacterized LOC119729882, transcript variant X3
Source: RNAcentral